Molecule: long non-coding RNA, 685 nt
Organism: Mesocricetus auratus (golden hamster)
Lineage: Eukaryota; Metazoa; Chordata; Mammalia; Rodentia; Cricetidae
Exons: 2
Source: RefSeq, a predicted model, not a curated record
GUGUUCUAAAGGACAUCCUGUAGGAAAAUGGAGGAGAGAGAGUCUGCCUUUCAUUAUUAAUUUCUCUUACUAAUUGCAGAGAAGCGAGCUGACCCAACUGAGAUACUACAGAUAUUGAGGGGAGGGGUAAUCACCUGCUUUAGUUAGGAUGAGGGUGAUUUAGACUAUGGUGAGGAUGGAUAGCUGGAACAAGACUGGACUUUAUGGAAAAUGGCAGGUGUGGUUUCAGUCUUCUACAGGGCUCAUUGUGUCUCAUGGAGUGUCUAAGGCCUGGGAGACAUAGCAAGCUGGAACUUAUGUCAGAUGUCUGAAGACCUAGUCUUCAGGCUUCUAUGUGUUUCACUCCCUCACCUUCCUGGAAAGACUCUGAUGGAGAAGAGCAAAGAGAGCAAGGGCAGAGACCAUGCUCCGGCUGAAGAAAAGUCCAACAUGUACCUUUCUGGGCCAGAUCGCUGGAACCGAUAUGUCUUGAUGCUGCACUGUGUCUGCUAUGUGGAACAGUUGGUUGGCAUGGGACUUGGUGACUUCGUUGGCCUCCCCACUGCCUUAGAAAGUCAACCCACAUAAAUCCAUGCUAUUUGGACUUCUCUGAGCCAGCUAUAUCUGCUUGCAACCCUCGUGCCAUUUAGAAAAGAAACUGUUAGUACAUGUUUGCUUACACGAUUUAAACUUGUUUCAAAAUGUC